This 253-nucleotide ribosomal RNA is filed under the name uncultured bacterium. Its description in RNAcentral is "partial 16S ribosomal RNA". It matches the Rfam family "Bacterial small subunit ribosomal RNA", at positions 524 to 776 of the family's 1533-position model. The record is from RNAcentral.
UACAGAGGGUGCAAGCGUUGCUCGGAAUCAUUGGGCGUAAAGGGCAAGUAGGUGGUCUCAUUUGUCUUGUGUGAAAUCCUUGGGCUUAACCCAAGAAGUGCGCAAGAAACGGUGAGACUCGAGUUCUGGAGAGGGUCGUGGAAUUCCCGGUGUAGCGGUGAAAUGCGUAGAGAUCGGGAGGAACACCAGAGGCGAAGGCGGCGACCUGGACAGACACUGACACUCAACUGCGAAAGCGUGGGGAGCAAACAGG